Molecule: long non-coding RNA, 679 nt
Filed under: Olea europaea subsp. europaea
Lineage: Eukaryota; Viridiplantae; Streptophyta; Magnoliopsida; Lamiales; Oleaceae
Source: RNAcentral
UCGGUAUCUUACCCUUAAGCUCAAAGCCUCCAGUAUCUUGACUCCUUCAUUAAUGUUAACCUCCUUCUCGAACCUUUCAAUAAGGUCCUUCACCAGGGCACACUCCGUGUAUUCCUCGAGGGCACUAUCUGAGAUAGGCUCGAAACCUGAAUCCACGACGCGAUAACAACCCUGAGCACGAUCUUCAUAUUUCGACUUCGUAUGAGGCGUUGAGGUCGGGCUCCUUGACAUCGAGGGUUGACCCCUAGGAGGCGUCGGGCUCUCAAGAUCCAUUUCAGGCACCCUAACAAUGGCGUGCUUGGCCAUCUUCAUCCCCUUUUUUGAGGUCGGGGCUUUAGACAUCGGCCCCUUGGCCUUAUAAUGGACAUUGGCCAGCAAUUUGGAAGGAACAAAAGACAUCUCUAGAUCUGCAAGAAACAAAUCACAAGGCAUUAGCAUGAUCUCAACGUCAAGAAUACGACGAUAGAGCUUAAAAAGUAAAAGACAUACCCUCGAGGCCUUUUACAUUUGUGAGGUCGAGGGUGUCAUCCUCGAGCAAAUAAUCGAUCUUCUCUGCCAAGGGGUCGUGGUUAACUAACCUUAAUCUGUCACUCUCUAGAACCUCAAAAUACGCCUGACCCUCAUUUAACCUAUCCUUACUAGGGAUCUCCCACCUCGGGCUAAAAGAAUGGUCGGGAUC